This 468-nucleotide ribosomal RNA is filed under the name uncultured bacterium. RNAcentral describes it as "partial 16S ribosomal RNA". It matches the Rfam family "Bacterial small subunit ribosomal RNA", at positions 28 to 507 of the family's 1533-position model. The record is from RNAcentral.
GACGAACGCUGGCGGCGUGCUUAACACAUGCAAGUCGAACGGAAAGGGCCUGCUUUGGUGGGGCUCUCGAGUGGCGAACGGGUGCGUAACACGGGAGUAACCUGCCCAUGACUUUGUGAUAACUUGAGGAAACUGCGGCUAAUACAGGAUAGGAGCUCCUGCUUCAUGGUGGGGGUUGGAAGGUUUCGGCGGUUGGGGAUGGAAUCGCGGCUUAUCCGCUUGUUGGUGGGGUAGUGGAUUACCAAGGCUUCGACGGGAAGGCGGCCUGAGAGGGUGACCGGCCACCGUGGGACUGAGAUACGGGCCGGAGUACUACGGGAGGCAGCAGUGGGGAAUAUUGCCUAAUGGGCCGAAGCCUGAUGCAGCAAGGCCGCGUGCGGGGUGGCGGCCUUCGGGUUGAAAAGGACUUUCGCCUGUGAGGGAGCAUGUUUGACGGUACCGGGUAAAGAAGCACCGGCUAACUCCGUG